Molecule: transfer RNA, 85 nt
Filed under: Nitrospinota bacterium
Lineage: Bacteria; Pseudomonadati; Nitrospinota
Also listed under: 2 other names
Description: tRNA-Leu
Rfam family: tRNA
About the family: Transfer RNA (tRNA) molecules are approximately 80 nucleotides in length. Their secondary structure includes four short double-helical elements and three loops (D, anti-codon, and T loops).
Source: RNAcentral
GCCGAUGUGGUGGAACUGGUAGACACGUGCGCUUGAGGGGCGUAUGGGGCAACCCGUGGGAGUUCGACUCUCCCCAUCGGCACCA